RNAcentral lists this ribosomal RNA (253 nucleotides) under uncultured bacterium. Its description in RNAcentral is "partial 16S ribosomal RNA". It matches the Rfam family "Bacterial small subunit ribosomal RNA", at positions 524 to 776 of the family's 1533-position model. The record is from RNAcentral.
UACAGAGGUCUCAAGCGUUGUUCGGAUUCAUUGGGCGUAAAGGGUGCGUAGGUGGCGCCAUAAGUCAGGUGUGAAAUCUCGGGGCUCAACCUCGAAACUGCACUUGAUACUGUGGUGCUUGAGUACUGGAGAGGAGAUUGGAAUUUACGGUGUAGCAGUGAAAUGCGUAGAUAUCGUAAGGAAGACCAGUGGCGAAGGCGGGUCUCUGGACAGUUCCUGACACUGAGGCACGAAGGCCAGGGGAGCAAACGGG